RNAcentral lists this ribosomal RNA (1341 nucleotides) under uncultured bacterium. RNAcentral's name for it is "16S ribosomal RNA". It matches the Rfam family "Bacterial small subunit ribosomal RNA", at positions 28 to 1381 of the family's 1533-position model. The record is from RNAcentral.
GACGAACGCUGGCGGCGUGCUUAACACAUGCAAGUCGAACGGUAAGGCUCCAGCUUGCUGGGGUACACGAGUGGCGAACGGGUGAGUAACACGUGGGUGACCUGCCCUGCACUUCGGGAUAAGCCUGGGAAACUGGGUCUAAUACCGGAUAGGACCGCACCGUGAGGGUGUGGUGGAAAGUUUUUUCGGUGUGGGAUGGGCCCGCGGCCUAUCAGCUUGUUGGUGGGGUAAUGGCCUACCAAGGCGGCGACGGGUAGCCGGCCUGAGAGGGUGGACGGCCACAUUGGGACUGAGACACGGCCCAGACUCCUACGGGAGGCAGCAGUGGGGAAUAUUGCACAAUGGGCGGAAGCCUGAUGCAGCGACGCCGCGUGGGGGACGACGGCCUUCGGGUUGUAAACUCCUUUCACCAUCGACGAAGGGUUUCUGACGGUAGAUGGAGAAGAAGCACCGGCUAACUACGUGCCAGCAGCCGCGGUAAUACGUAGGGUGCGAGCGUUGUCCGGAAUUACUGGGCGUAAAGAGCUCGUAGGUGGUUUGUCGCGUCGUCUGUGAAAUUCCGGGGCUUAACUCCGGGCGUGCAGGCGAUACGGGCAUAACUUGAGUACUGUAGGGGAGACUGGAAUUCCUGGUGUAGCGGUGAAAUGCGCAGAUAUCAGGAGGAACACCGGUGGCGAAGGCGGGUCUCUGGGCAGUAACUGACGCUGAGGAGCGAAAGCAUGGGGAGCGAACAGGAUUAGAUACCCUGGUAGUCCAUGCCGUAAACGGUGGGCGCUAGGUGUGGGUUUCCUUCCACGGGAUCCGUGCCGUAGCUAACGCAUUAAGCGCCCCGCCUGGGGAGUACGGCCGCAAGGCUAAAACUCAAAGGAAUUGACGGGGGCCCGCACAAGCGGCGGAGCAUGUGGAUUAAUUCGAUGCAACGCGAAGAACCUUACCUGGGCUUGACAUAUACAGGAUCGCGCCAGAGAUGGUGUUUCCCUUGUGGCUUGUAUACAGGUGGUGCAUGGUUGUCGUCAGCUCGUGUCGUGAGAUGUUGGGUUAAGUCCCGCAACGAGCGCAACCCUUGUCUUAUGUUGCCAGCACGUUGUGGUGGGGACUCGUAAGAAACUGCCGGGGUUAACUCGGAGGAAGGUGGGGAUGACGUCAAAUCAUCAUGCCCCUUAUGUCCAGGGCUUCACACAUGCUACAAUGGUCGGUACAGUGGGUUGCCAGUCCGUGAGGGCGAGCUAAUCCCGCAAAGCCGGUCUCAGUUCGGAUCGGGGUCUGCAACUCGACCCCGUGAAGUCGGAGUCGCUAGUAAUCGCAGAUCAGCAACGCUGCGGUGAAUACGUUCCCGGGCCU